Non-coding RNA from Mesocricetus auratus (golden hamster), 523 nucleotides. The record is from the annotation of a RefSeq genome assembly. NCBI's taxonomy places the organism in Eukaryota, Metazoa, Chordata, Mammalia, Rodentia, Cricetidae.
UCCUUCUCACUGGAGCCUCCAACAGAGCAUGGAUAUCCUGGUGCUGCUCCUCUGCCUGGUGACCUUCCCAAGCUGUGUCCUGUCCCAGGUGCAGCUGAAGGAGUCAGGACCCAGCAUGGUGCAGCCCUCAGAGACCCUGCCUCUCACCUGCACUGUCUCUGGAAUCUCAUUAAGUAGCAUUGCUGUAAGCUGGAUCCGCCAGCCUCCAGGAAAGGGACUGGAGUGGAUGGGAGAAAUAUGGAGUAAUGGAAAUACUUAUUAUAAUUCAGCUCUCCAAUCCCGAAUCAGCAUCACCAGGGACACCUCCAAAAGUCAAGUUUUCUUCAAACUGAAUAAUCUAAAAACUGAGGACACAGCCAUAUAUUACUGUGCUAGAAACACAGUGAGGGAACUCCAGUGUGAUCCUGCAUAUAAACCUCCCUGUAGAGACACCAAAGAACAGCAGGGGGCACUGAGGACCAACAGUGCCAUCUCAGGACCAGUAGCAGUUAUUUCAACAGUUCUGUGUUUGCUACUAUUUUGA